Molecule: ribosomal RNA, 101 nt
Filed under: uncultured bacterium
Lineage: Bacteria
Description: partial 16S ribosomal RNA
Rfam family: Bacterial small subunit ribosomal RNA
Source: RNAcentral
UACACACCGCCCGUCAAGUCAUGAAAGUCGGUAACACCCGAAGCCAGUGGCCAAACCCGCAAGGGAUGGAGCUGUCGAAGGUGGGAUCGGUGAUUAGGACU